GCCCGUGAAAAGGCAAACACACUGUCCGUACCGAGAUCCGACACAGGUACUCGUGGCGGCGAAAGCCAAGGUCUGUCGGGAGCAACCGACGUUAGGGAAUUCGGCAAGUUAGUCCCGUACGUUCGCAAUAAGGGAUGCCUGCCCUGCAAUGGGGCAGGUCGCAGUGACUCGGGCGCUCCGACUGUCUAGUAACAACAUAGGGGACCGCAAAUCCGCAAGGACUCGUACGGUCACUGAAUCCUGCCCAGUGCAGGUAUCUGAACACCCCGUACAAGGGGACGAAGGACCUGUUAACGGCGGGGGUAACUAUGACCCUCUUAAGGUAGCGUAGUACCUUGCCGCUUCAGUAGCGGCUUGCAUGAAUGGAUCAACGAGAGCGCCACUGUCCCAACGUUGGGCCCGGUGAACUGUACGUUCCAGUGCGGAGUCUGGAGACCCCCAAGGGGAAGCGAAGACCCUAUAGAGCUUUACUGCAGGCUGUCACUGAGACGUGGUCGCCAUUGUGCAGCAUAGGUAGGAGNGAGACCCCCAAGGGGAAGCGAAGACCCUAUAGAGCUUUACUGCAGGCUGUCACUGAGACGUGGUCGCCAUUGUGCAGCAUAGGUAGGAGGCGGUACACAGGUACCCGCGCUAGCGGGCCACCGAGCCAACAUUGAAAUACUACCCGAUGGUGACUGCGACUCUCACUCCUGGCGGAGGACACUGGUAGCCGGGCAGUUUGACUGGGGCGGUACGC
This 736-nucleotide ribosomal RNA is filed under the name Natrinema thermotolerans. Its description in RNAcentral is "Haloterrigena thermotolerans partial 23S ribosomal RNA". It matches the Rfam family "Archaeal large subunit ribosomal RNA", at positions 1701 to 2353 of the family's 2987-position model. Lineage: Archaea; Methanobacteriati; Methanobacteriota; Halobacteria; Halobacteriales; Natrialbaceae. The record is from RNAcentral. RNAcentral also lists the same sequence under 1 other name.